This 461-nucleotide ribosomal RNA is filed under the name uncultured bacterium. RNAcentral's name for it is "partial 16S ribosomal RNA". It matches the Rfam family "Bacterial small subunit ribosomal RNA", at positions 338 to 795 of the family's 1533-position model. The record is from RNAcentral.
CCUACGGGAGGCAGCAGUGAGGAAUAUUGGUCAAUGGGCGCGAGCCUGAACCAGCCAAGUCGCGUGAGGGAGGACGGCCCUACGGGUUGUAAACCUCUUUUGCCGGGGAGCAACGGGCGUCACGUGUGGCGCCACUGAGAGUACCCGGAGAAAAAGCAUCGGCUAACUCCGUGCCAGCCGCCGCGGUAAUACGGAGGAUGCGAGCGUUAUCCGGAUUGAUUGGGUUUAAAGGGUGCGUAGGUUGUUUUUUAAGUCAGCGGUGAAAGUUUGUGGCUCAAACAUAAAAUUGCCGUUGAAACUGGAAGACUUGAGUGUGUUUGAGGUAGGCGGAAUGCGUGGUGUAGCGGUGAAAUGCAUAGAUAUCACGAAGAACUCCGAUUGCGAAGGCAGCUUACUAAGCCAUAACUGACACUGAAGCACGAAAGCGUGGGGAUCAAACAGGAUUAGAUACCCCAGUAGUC